Molecule: ribosomal RNA, 379 nt
Filed under: uncultured eukaryote
Lineage: Eukaryota
Description: partial 18S ribosomal RNA
Rfam family: Eukaryotic small subunit ribosomal RNA
Source: RNAcentral
CAAUAGCGUAUAUUUAAGUUGUUGCAGUUAAAAAGCUCGUAGUUGGAUUUCGGAUGGGAUUUGCCGGUCCGUCGUUACGAUGUGCACUGGCCAGUCCUAUCUUGUUGUCGGGGACUAGCUCCUUGGAUUCACUUCCUGGGACUAGGAGCUGACGAGGUUACUUUGAGUAAAUUAGAGUGUUCAAAGCAAGCCUACGCUCUGAAUACAUUAGCAUGGAAUAACACGAUAGGACUCUGGCUUAUCUUGUUGGUCUGUGAGGCCAGAGUAAUGAUUAAGAGGGACAGUCGGGGACAUUCGUAUUUCAUUGUCAGAGGUGAAAUUCUUGGAUUUAUGAAAGACGAACUUCUGCGAAAGCAUUUGUCAAGGAUGUUUUCAUUAA